UGCCAGCAGUCGCGGUUACACCAAGAAAUUAAGUCAUAUUUAGAUGGUAAAAAGACAGUUAGACAUUAGAUAUUUAAAGCUUUUUGACCUUUUAUAUAGAAGUAAAAUUUAUGUAUAAAUGCGUAAUUUAACAAUAGCUAUAAAGUUGAAUCUGUGACAGCCUGGAGGGAAACUGGGAUUAGAUACCCCAUUAUUCCUGGUUAUAAAUAAAUAAAAUUUACCAGAGUACUAUGAAUACUAUAAAAUUUAAAACUCAAAGGACUUGGCGGUGUUUUAGACCAUUUAGGGGAACCUGUCUUAUAAUCGAUAAUCCACGUUACACCUAACCUUUCUUUGCUUUCAGUUUGUAUAUCGUUGUCGUCAGGUAACUUUUUAGAAAUUAGAAGUUAGCUAAAAAUAGUAAAUUUAAACGUCAAAUCAAGGUGCAGCUAAUAGAGAGGUAAAGAUGGGUUACAAUUAUUUUAAUUAUAAUAACGGAAAAUCAUGUGAACUUAAUGAUAAAGAAGGAGGACUUAAAAGUAAAUUAGAUUAUAUAAAUAACUUGAAUAAGGCUCUGAAAUGUGCACACAUCGCCCGCCACUCU
RNAcentral lists this ribosomal RNA (583 nucleotides) under Lophiotoma unedo. Its description in RNAcentral is "partial 12S ribosomal RNA". Lineage: Eukaryota; Metazoa; Mollusca; Gastropoda; Neogastropoda; Turridae. The record is from RNAcentral.